CCAAAGUGGGGGACCUUCGGGCCUCAUGCCAUCAGAUGUGCCCAGAUGGGAUUAGCUAGUAGGUGGGGUAACGGCUCACCUAGGCGACGAUCCCUAGCUGGUCUGAGAGGAUGACCAGCCACACUGGAACUGAGACACGGUCCAGACUCCUACGGGAGGCAGCAGUGGGGAAUAUUGCACAAUGGGCGCAAGCCUGAUGCAGCCAUGCCGCGUGUGUGAAGAAGGCCUUCGGGUUGUAAAGCACUUUCAGCGGGGAGGAAGGCGAUAAGGUUAAUAACCUUGUCGAUUGACGUUACCCGCAGAAGAAGCACCGGCUAACUCCGUGCCAGCAGCCGCGG
RNAcentral lists this ribosomal RNA (338 nucleotides) under Klebsiella pneumoniae. RNAcentral describes it as "bacterial SSU rRNA". It matches the Rfam family "Bacterial small subunit ribosomal RNA", at positions 201 to 520 of the family's 1533-position model. Lineage: Bacteria; Pseudomonadati; Pseudomonadota; Gammaproteobacteria; Enterobacterales; Enterobacteriaceae. The record is from RNAcentral.